Prunus avium (sweet cherry) is the source of this 155-nucleotide non-coding RNA. The record is from RefSeq and is a predicted model, not a curated record. NCBI's taxonomy places the organism in Eukaryota, Viridiplantae, Streptophyta, Magnoliopsida, Rosales, Rosaceae.
CUAUCACUAGACAAGAACAUUCUUCAAGGAAUAUCCAGACAUUGCUAGAUAGAGCUGCAGAUGAUGGCUUGGUGUUAAUUCAUUCUCCACGAGUGGGGUUAUUUAGGAGAUCUCGAACGAUAAAGGGGAAGCGUGCUCCGCCAUCAUGUAAAGAG